UGGGGAAUAUUGCACAAUGGGCGCAAGCCUGAUGCAGCCAUGCCGCGUGUAUGAAGAAGGCCUUCGGGUUGUAAAGUACUUUCAGCGGGGAGGAAGGUGUUGAGGUUAAUAACCUCAGCAAUUGACGUUACCCGCAGAAGAAGCACCGGCUAACUCCGUGCCAGCAGCCGCGGGAAUACGGAGGGAGCAAGCGUUAAUCGGAAUUACUGGGCGUAAAGCGCACGCAGGCGGUCUGUCAAGUCGGAUGUGAAAUCCCCGGGCUCAACCUGGGAACUGCAUUCGAAACUGGCAGGCUAGAGUCUUGUAGAGGGGGGUAGAAUUCCAGGUGUAGCGGUGAAAUGCGUAGAGAUCUGGAGGAAUACCGGUGGCGAAGGCGGCCCCCUGGACAAAGACUGACGCUCAGGUGCGAAAGCGUGGGGAGCAAACA
This 427-nucleotide ribosomal RNA is filed under the name uncultured bacterium. Its description in RNAcentral is "partial 16S ribosomal RNA". It matches the Rfam family "Bacterial small subunit ribosomal RNA", at positions 355 to 774 of the family's 1533-position model. The record is from RNAcentral.